GCCAAAUGUGGCUUGCGGUCCGUCUAAAUAAGAGCAGUGCGGACGCUGUCUUGAGCGUGUAAAGUGUUGUGAUGGCAUUAAUGCCUUUGAAAAGGAUGCCUGAAAUUGCAUGGGGUUUAACAAAUACAACUUUUGGAAUAUGGAGACAGAAUAGCUCUUUCUGCAUGUAUCAAAUGUCACAGAACUUCCUUGCUCCAGAAUUGCCUUGUCGUGGAAAGAAAAUAUGGCUCCAGGAAGAUGGAGUAGGAUCACCUAACUACCAAAGAGUCCGAGACUGUAUUUCAACAAAUACUCGUAUUUCCCGCUCGUGUGAUUUGAGAAAGAGGAAAUGUUCCAUGGCUAGCGUGUUCUUCAGACGUGUCAAUAUGCGACUUGUUUUCUUUAGACUUUUCUAAAGUAUCAAGUGUGCAUAAAUAAACCUCGGAAACAGACUCAAAAUAGCAUUACAGGAAACAGCUACAUCUAUACAAGUCGAAGCCGGGGAAUAGUUCUUGAGAAUCUGUUGUUCCAGCUAGAUGGGAAAACAUCACGUACUGUCAGAGAAUGUAUUUCAUCAGUUAUCUCUCGGUCUUAUGGUUUUUAAAUAAUGAAAUGUUCCAUGGCCGGCAUGUACUCCAAACGUGACAACAUAUGGCUUGUUUCUUUUGGGGCUAUCUGUAUUUCAAGUAUGAGUAUAUUAGCCUCGAAAAAUUGACGGACUCGGUGUAAUAUUACAGGAAAGAGCUAUAUCUAUGUCAAUGAACGUCACGGAAUAGAUCUUGAGAAUCUAUGGUACCUGCAAGAUGGACCAAUAUCACAUUGCCAGAGACGACAUUUCAACCACUAUUUCUUUCUCAUGGGAUUUCUGAAAAGAGGAGAUACCCCAUGGAAGGAUUGUCAGUAGGCGAUUUAUUUUCGUAGGGUCUCAAGUGUCAUAUUUCGUAUCAAGUCUCAAGUGUGCGUGAAUACACAUCGGAGAGAUUUAAAGUAACAUUACAGGAAAUAAUUAUAGCUGUUCGAUCAGCAUGAACUAAAGAGAGAUGCAAAACUUGUGUGACAGAUUCGAGAAGUUCUGUAACAAUGGCCAAGAGUAUUUAAAAAUACAUUUUAUACAAAAAAAAAAUAAAAGGCUGACAAGAAAUAAUACUCUGUUAUAACUAAUAUUAUAACAAACUGCAUUAUUAAUUCUGUUAUUUUAUAAAAUAUAUAAACAUUUGAUAAACAUUUGACUUAAAUUUUAUUCAAUCUCAAAAUCGUCAGAUUAUUUUGGUCGGCAUCCGUGGUAUCGAUUUUUAUUAUUUUUUUAUUUUGAGAUUUCUUAGAAAUGCUUUUUAAAAAUAUAGCUGAAUUAAAAGGACUAUUAAAAUUUUUUGCUUAAAAUUGAAAAAAAGAAAGACCUUGUCGUUCCGUUCUAAGUGGUGACAUGUUAUUAUCAACUGCAUUCUAAAUGCAUGCGACACUUUUUAGUGCAGCAAAUACGAAAAAUUAACUGUGCCUUCACCAGAAAAACUACGAAUCUUCCAAUUGCUAGUUGGACGGGCUUAUCGCUUUACUUUCAGUAUUACUGACAUAUGCGAAUUGAAGAAGGGCAACAAGUGAGGUAGCGGAAGUUCUGCUUUUUUGGAAUUUAUUCGCCUGUUCCACUGAAGGUUUCUGGAAAAUGGAAGAACAGCUCUCAUAAGAUAUCCAAAAUUUCUGUUAUAUCUAAUUGCAGUAAAAUUACUAUAUAUAUGAAAAUAAAUUCAUUUGAUCGAAUCAAAA
RNAcentral lists this long non-coding RNA (1740 nucleotides) under Stegodyphus dumicola. RNAcentral describes it as "uncharacterized LOC118187459". Lineage: Eukaryota; Metazoa; Arthropoda; Arachnida; Araneae; Eresidae. The record is from RNAcentral.